ACGCCAGAUUGCCCGCGCAGGCGGCAUAAAGACAUGCCUUGUUGAUCACCGGGCACCCAUGAGCGCGCGCGUACAAGAGACACGCCAGCCGCCCCUCGUCCCCAGUGGCGCUCGGCGCUCGGCCUCCAUCGUACAACGAGCGCAUGCGGCACAAACCCAGGAUGGCAGCCGUGCUUGUGUCAAUGUCCAAUGGGCAGCCGCGCUCCCUCGCAAAGGUAAGCAUGGCAAGGUCGCCAUUCGACGCGGCAUGCGCGCACACCACCCUCGACCACGGGCAGCCGUGAUUGUAGAGGUGGACGAGUGCGUCCAUGUGCCCGCAGCGCGCGGCUGUCAAACACGCGUGCACAUUUCGCGGGCAAUUGUUGUCGGUAAGGUAGGCCAAGAUGUCGAGGCGACCGACCCGUGCAGCAGCGAUCAUCGUGUUGGCGCUCCAUGGGCAGCCGCGGCCGUGCACAUCGAUCAAGACGUUGAGGCGGCCCGCGCGAGCCGCAGCCGUACACGUUCUUUCAUCCCAUAAGCACCCAUGAUCGCGCGCAUAGUCGAGUAUGUCGAUGCGACCGCCGGCCACCGCGGCCUCGCAUGUGUACGCGUCCCACGGGCAGCCCGCCUCGCGCAGGAAGCGUAACGUGUCGAGGUGGCCUCCAGCGGCGGCCUGCAUGCACGCACGGCCAUCCAGUGGAUGACCGUCGGCGAUGAGCAUUUGGAGAAUGGCUACGUGGCCGCCCAACGCUGCAUGGGAGCACACAUCGUUUGACUUGUUUGAUAGACGCGAUGACAGAUAGGCCGCACAUUCAAGAUGACCGGCAUAGGCUGCACAGAUGAGGGCCUUUUCGAUUCUUUUCGGAUCAAGCACAUUGCCGGCGGCGACCUCGACUACGUGGGCGACAAUGGCAGUGCGUCCGUGACGCGCGGCCUCUUCGAGGGCCGCGUGGUGCUCGUCAUACCCUUGACUGUGCACAUGGGCAAGGUUGGCGACGUCGCCGGCGCGUGCCGCCGCACAGGCGAUGCGGCACAGGGGAUCAUGUAGACGCGGUCGCCCAUCCAGAACGAAACGGGUGCAGUCGCGAUGUCCCUCUCCGGCCGCGGCUUCAGCGGCGGCCAAGAGGCGCCUGCCGACGGCCCGCCGGCGAGGCAGCGCGGCACGUGUUGUGCAGUCGACGCGGCCCAUGCUCGCAACGUCCAGGGCUACGCGGCGCCAACGACGGCACACUGCCGCAGCGCGCGUGCGCCGGUCCACACAGACCAAAAACCUGAAACAGUAGACAAGGAUCUCAUCAGGGAGGUGGUUGAUCAUCACAGGCUCAUCGGCCUCGACGACGGCGGUGGUCAUUUUCUUUUUGUGUAAAAAGAUUGCUUGAGCA
Molecule: long non-coding RNA, 1361 nt
Filed under: Pandoravirus celtis
Description: hypothetical ncRNA
Source: RNAcentral